This is a non-coding RNA of Brassica napus (rape), 125 nucleotides long. The record is from Rfam. NCBI's taxonomy places the organism in Eukaryota, Viridiplantae, Streptophyta, Magnoliopsida, Brassicales, Brassicaceae.
GGAAGUUAAGAAACUGUUUCUUAACUUUUAACUUAAAAAACUAAGAACCGAUUUUUAAAGUCCUUAUUUAAGAAUCGGUUCUUAACUUUUUAAGUUAAAAGUUAAGAAACAGUUUCUUAACUUCC